This 68-nucleotide transfer RNA is filed under the name Hoplisoma sterbai. RNAcentral's name for it is "Corydoras sterbai tRNA-Ser". Lineage: Eukaryota; Metazoa; Chordata; Actinopteri; Siluriformes; Callichthyidae. RNAcentral also lists the same sequence under 3 other names. The record is from RNAcentral.
GAGAGAGGCCAAAAGCAGUAAGGACUGCUAAUCCAUACCCCCAUGGUUAAACUCCAUGGCUCACUCGA